This 383-nucleotide ribosomal RNA is filed under the name Burkholderia sp. FER49. RNAcentral's name for it is "bacterial SSU rRNA". It matches the Rfam family "Bacterial small subunit ribosomal RNA", at positions 966 to 1354 of the family's 1533-position model. Lineage: Bacteria; Pseudomonadati; Pseudomonadota; Betaproteobacteria; Burkholderiales; Burkholderiaceae. The record is from RNAcentral.
AAACUUACCUACCCUUGACAUGGUCGGAAUCCUGAAGAGAUUCGGGAGUGCUCGAAAGAGAACCGGCGCACAGGUGCUGCAUGGCUGUCGUCAGCUCGUGUCGUGAGAUGUUGGGUUAAGUCCCGCAACGAGCGCAACCCUUGUCCUUAGUUGCUACGCAAGAGCACUCUAAGGAGACUGCCGGUGACAAACCGGAGGAAGGUGGGGAUGACGUCAAGUCCUCAUGGCCCUUAUGGGUAGGGCUUCACACGUCAUACAAUGGUCGGAACAGAGGGUUGCCAACCCGCGAGGGGGAGCUAAUCCCAGAAAACCGAUCGUAGUCCGGAUUGCACUCUGCAACUCGAGUGCAUGAAGCUGGAAUCGCUAGUAAUCGCGGAUCAGCA